Molecule: long non-coding RNA, 987 nt
Filed under: Mytilus galloprovincialis (Mediterranean mussel)
Lineage: Eukaryota; Metazoa; Mollusca; Bivalvia; Mytilida; Mytilidae
Source: RNAcentral
AUGAGACAUUUGUAGAAAUGAAAAACACAACCUAAUAAACAGACAAUUGAUACAACUUCUCAUACAUACACAUUCAUUGAUGUAGAAAAAAAUCAAUUCAACACAUUUGACAAAUACUCUUACAUACAUAGUAUCACAAUGGUAAAUUAAUCAUGUUAAAGGAGAUAUUUUGGAGAAUAAAAACAAGGCCAUAUCAUCCAGAGUAAACUUCCCUGAGGACUAACAUUGCUAUACAUAUAUAACUAGUAAGGCAUGCUAAAUAAAACAAAUAAUUCAUGAAUAUAUUUAUUCAGUGCAUGUGAUCUUUGAGGGGAGGGCACAGAUAUCUUUGAACUGCACUGUAAACUAAAAAGAGCAAUAUUUGGUGUCAUAUUAUAGAGUAGCUUGUAUUGAUUCCAAAAAAAAUAUAUGAUUUUUAAAUACUUUUUGUAAAUAAAGGGAGACUAUUUUAUCACUUCUAGUGUAAUAAGAUAUUUUCCUUUAUACUGAUUGUGAAAAUAUGUACUUCCUACUUUUGCUAGGUACUUUUUCUUGAAUGAAUUCAGUUCUUUCUUUGUGUUGAUGAAACUGUAGGCAGUAAAAUAGAACUCCUUUCUGCAACUUGUGCAACUUCUAAAAUAAUAUGCUUUUAUUUCAUGCUAUUCAUGCACACAUCAUUUUUGUAAAUUGGUUAUAUGACCAUAGAUUUUUAAGAAAUUGCUUGGGUAUGGAUAAAAUGAAAGAAUAUACACCUCAAAAUUAUCUUUUGUUUACUUAUAAAAAACACAGUUAAGGUAAAGGAUACAAUGCAACCUUAAAUCCAUAAAAUGUUUAAGAGGUAAACAAUUUGAUUUUUUUAAAUAAUGGAUACAUUAAAACUAUUGAAAGUAAAAGAAAUAAUGCUUGGCAGUUUCAAAAUAAAAGUUGUUUUUACAUAUUAUUUGAAAAAAAAAUAUAUAAGUGGGCUUAACUUUAUAUAUAAAAGAAAAAGACAGACAGAGAAAAAAA